GACGAACGCUGGCGGCGUGCCUAAUACAUGCAAGUCGAACGAGAGCGACCGGUGCUUGCGCUGGUCAAUCUAGUGGCGAACGGGUGAGUAACACGUGGGUAACCUGCCCAUCAGAGGGGGAUAACAUUCGGAAACGGAUGCUAAAACCGCAUAGGUCCUUUAACCGCAUGGUUGAAGGAGGAAAAGAGGCGCAAGCUUCUGCUGAUGGAUGGACCCGCGGUGCAUUAGCUAGUUGGUGAGGUAACGGCUCACCAAGGCCGUGAUGCAUAGCCGACCUGAGAGGGUGAUCGGCCACAUUGGGACUGAGACACGGCCCAAACUCCUACGGGAGGCAGCAGUAGGGAAUCUUCCGCAAUGGACGCAAGUCUGACGGAGCAACGCCGCGUGAGUGAAGAAGGUUUUCGGAUCGUAAAACUCUGUUGUUAGAGAAGAACAAGUGCUAGAGUAACUGUUAGCGCCUUGACGGUAUCUAACCAGAAAGCCACGGCUAACUACGUGCCAGCAGCCGCGGUAAUACGUAGGUGGCAAGCGUUGUCCAGAUUUAUUGGGCGUAAAGCGAGCGCAGGCGGUUCCUUAAGUCUGAUGUGAAAGCCCCCGGCUCAACCGGGGAGGGUCAUUGGAAACUGGGGAACUUGAGUGCAGAAGAGGAGAGUGGAAUUCCAUGUGUAGCGGUGAAAUGCGUAGAUAUAUGGAGGAACACCAGUGGCGAAGGCGACUCUCUGGUCUGUAACUGACGCUGAGGCUCGAAAGCGUGGGUAGCAAACAGG
This 767-nucleotide ribosomal RNA is filed under the name uncultured Granulicatella sp. RNAcentral's name for it is "bacterial SSU rRNA". It matches the Rfam family "Bacterial small subunit ribosomal RNA", at positions 28 to 776 of the family's 1533-position model. The record is from RNAcentral. Lineage: Bacteria; Bacillati; Bacillota; Bacilli; Lactobacillales; Carnobacteriaceae.